UACGUAGGGUGCGAGCGUUAAUCGGAAUUACUGGGCGUAAAGCGUGCGCAGGCGGUUCGCCGUGUCCGAUGUGAAAGCCCCGGGCUUAACCUGGGAAUGGCAUUGGAAACUGGCGGGCUUGAGUGUGGCAGAGGGGGGUGGAAUUCCACGUGUAGCAGUGAAAUGCGUAGAUAUCAAGAGGAACACCGGUGGCGAAGGCGGCUCUCUGGUCCAUGUCUGACGCUGAGGUACGAAAGCUAGGGGAGCAAACGGG
This 253-nucleotide ribosomal RNA is filed under the name uncultured bacterium. RNAcentral's name for it is "partial 16S ribosomal RNA". It matches the Rfam family "Bacterial small subunit ribosomal RNA", at positions 524 to 776 of the family's 1533-position model. The record is from RNAcentral.